Molecule: long non-coding RNA, 673 nt
Organism: Bombina bombina (fire-bellied toad)
Lineage: Eukaryota; Metazoa; Chordata; Amphibia; Anura; Bombinatoridae
Exons: 2
Source: RefSeq, a predicted model, not a curated record
UAUGUAUAUUUAGUAUGUUCUGUAUAAUAAUUAUUAUUGUUCUGUAUAAUAUGUAUAUCUAUUUAUUAUUCUGUAUAAAGUUAUAAUUUGUAGUAUGGUAACGGAACACAUUGAAUUCUGUGUCUGCUGAAGUGUUCACGGAUAGUGAGAGUAGAGUGCGGCUGCUCUCACUGUCUGUGAUCAUGGGAAGCUAAUCAGAUUUUAGUUUGUUUGGUUAUCUAUUGUACAAUAUUUUGUACAAUAUUUUUAUAAUAUGUAUAAUAUUUAUAAUGUAUAAUUGUUAUGUAUAAUUAUUAUGUAUAAUAUGUUUGGCUUAAAUAUGGGAAAGGCAACUUUAACUCUGUACUUUGUACACUGGUUGCAUUUAGAGCACCAGGUUGUCUAGUUUCUUACACUAAUUUUGUUUUCUGUAUAUAGAUUUUUUUUUAUAUACAGAUGUUCAAGCACUGGACAAAAUGUUUACAUGAAAAAUUUCUCCGUUACAUCAGCCCAGGUGUUUUAACAGCUGGAGUACGUGUGUGUUUUGUGCAACUCUGCUGCUCUCACAACUCGUGUACCCAUGGAAAGGGAUUGUCCUUGGAGUUCCUGUUUGAACUAUAAACCUGGCUAUUUAAUAAAAUGCUAAAAAAGUGUUUGAUUAUCUGUUCUAUUAAUAAAGCUGUGACUUAUCUUA